Molecule: ribosomal RNA, 269 nt
Filed under: uncultured archaeon
Lineage: Archaea
Description: partial 16S ribosomal RNA
Rfam family: Archaeal small subunit ribosomal RNA
Source: RNAcentral
CAGCGCCACGAGUGGCAAUCGUGUAUUUGGCCUAAAGCGUCCGUAGCCGGAUUUGUAAAUCUUUUGUGAAAUCGUUGAGCUCAACUUAACGGCGUGCAGAAGACACUGCAGAUCUCGAGACCGGGAGGAGAUAGAGGUAUUCUAGGGGGAGCGGUAAAAUGCUAUAAUCCCUGGAGGACCACCAGUGGCGAAGGCGUCUGUCCAGAACGGAUCUGACGGUGAGGGACGAAAGCCAGGGGAGCGAACCGGAUUAGAUACCCGUGUAGUCC